RNAcentral lists this long non-coding RNA (611 nucleotides) under Homo sapiens (human). RNAcentral describes it as "HSALNT0336211". Lineage: Eukaryota; Metazoa; Chordata; Mammalia; Primates; Hominidae. The record is from RNAcentral.
AUACUUAGCUGAGCUCACAGAGGCUGGCGGACGUGCGCCCCAUGGCGGAGCGAGCUGAAGUUGCAGCCUGGGACCAGGGAAAUCAAGAGGUAAAAAUGCGGCCAAACCAUUAUGAGGAAAAGGGGCCAAGAAUUACACUGUAGCGCCUCGCGCCGGCUCCCCGGUCUCCUGGGGAGCGAAGGGAGCCUGAAGAGCUGGUCCUUAUACAGCUUUCUGAAAUCCCUGAGAUCUGUCAAUGAAUCGCGCAUCUUUCACUCCACAAGUAUUUGUUGAACGUCAUUGUGAUCAUGCUGGCUGCUGUGUGGAGAAAAGACCGAGGGGAAGUAAAAGAACAAAGAACAAAAGAGAACAUGAUGGCUUGGAUCAAGCCUGGUUCUUGACUAUCCCCUAAAAUUGUCAGUCAGUAGAAGCUCACUGAGUAUCAUCUGAAUUUAAAUCACCAUUAGCUCCCUUCUGAUGAAGCAGGAGUUGACUCAGCUGGGCUUUCAGCUGGACACGGAAAGCGGAGGUAGAUGAAUUGUCAUGAUCAAGUGGGUGUCAUCAAGUACUUAGAAAGGUUUCAUUUUGUUCCUACUGUCUUUCCAACUUACUAAUAAAAAUAUUGAAAUCUA